GUGGGGAAUAUUGCGCAAUGGGGGAAACCCUGACGCAGCGACGCCGCGUGAGCGAUGAAGGCCUUAGGGUUGUAAAGCUCUGUUUUAAGGGACGAAUGUUACGGGGAGUAAUAUGCCCUGUAAAUGACGGUACCUUAAGAGGAAGCCCCGGCUAACUACGUGCCAGCAGCCGCGGUAAGACGUAGGGGGCGAGCGUUGUCCGGAAUUACUGGGCGUAAAGAGCACGUAGGCGGGAACUUAAGUCAGGUGUGAAAGACCGGGGCUCAACCUCGGGGUGGCACUUGAAACUGGGUUUCUUGAGGGCAGGAGAGGAAAGUAGAAUUCCUGGUGUAGCGGUGAAAUGCGUAGAAAUCAGGAGGAAUACCAGUGGCGAAGGCGACUUUCUGGACUGACCCUGACGCUGAGGUGCGAAAGCGUGGGUAGCAAACAGGAUUAGAAACCCGGGUAGUCC
RNAcentral lists this ribosomal RNA (451 nucleotides) under uncultured bacterium. RNAcentral's name for it is "bacterial SSU rRNA". It matches the Rfam family "Bacterial small subunit ribosomal RNA", at positions 354 to 796 of the family's 1533-position model. The record is from RNAcentral.